UCAUAUGCUUGUCUCAAAGAUUAAGCCAUGCAUGUCUAAGUACAUACCGAAAGACGGUGAAACCGCGAAUGGCUCAUUAAAUCAGUUAUGGUUCAUUAGAUCGUACAUUUAUCCUACUUGGAUAACUGUGGUAAUUCUAGAGCUAAUACAUGCAAUCAAGCUCCGACCAUUCGCAUGGGACGAGCGCUUUUAUUAGAACAAGACCAAUAACGGAUUUCUUCUCCGCUUCUCUCUUCUCCUCUUCGCGGGGGAGUCGUCGGAGGGCGGCUGAGGUUCCGUUAACCCCAAUUGGUGACUCUGGAUAACUUUAAGCCGAUCGCACGGUCUCGCACCGGCGACGAGUCUUUCAAAUGUCUGCCUUAUCAACUGUCGAUGGUAGGUUACGCGCCUACCAUGGUUGUAACGGGUAACGGGGAAUCAGGGUUCGAUUCCGGAGAGGGAGCCUGAGAAACGGCUACCACAUCCAAGGAAGGCAGCAGGCACGCAAAUUACCCAUUCCCGGCACGGGGAGGUAGUGACGAAAAAUAACAAUACGGGACUCUUCCGAGGCCCCGUAAUUGGAAUGAGUACACUUUAAAUCCUUUAACCAGGAUCAAUUGGAGGGCAAGUCUGGUGCCAGCAGCCGCGGUAAUUCCAGCUCCAAUAGCGUAUAUUAAAGUUGUUGCGGUUAAAAAGCUCGUAGUUGGAUCUCGGUGCCGGACCGGCGGUCCGCUCUCUUUCAUUAGGGGCGGUUUUUACUGCCGGCUCCGGAGCCAAGCCGGCCGGUUCGUCCCUCGAUGCUCUUCGCCGAGUGUCCUGGGAGACCGGCACGUUUACUUUGAAUAAAUUAGAGUGCUCUAAGCAGGCGUUUCGACGCCCGAAUAACCCAGCAUGGAAUAAUGGAAAAGGGCCUCGGUUCUAUUCUGUUGGUUUUUUUUCGGAACCCGAGGUAAUGAUUAAUAGGGACAGACGAGGGCAUUCGUAUUGCGGCGCUAGAGGUGAAAUUCUUGGACCGCCGCAGGACGAACUACUGCGAAAGCAUUUGCCAAGAAUGUUUUCACUAAUCAAGAACGAAAGUUAGAGGUUCGAAGGCGAUCAGAUACCGCCCUAGUUCUAACCAUAAACGAUGCCAACCAGCGAUCCGCCGGAGUUCCUCCGAUGACCCGGCGGGCAGCUUCCCGGGAAACCAAAGUUUUUGGGUUCCGGGGGAAGUAUGGUUGCAAAGCUGAAACUUAAAGGAAUUGACGGAAGGGCACCACCAGGAGUGGAGCCUGCGGCUUAAUUUGACUCAACACGGGAAAACUCACCCGGCCCGGACACUGGAAGGAUUGACAGAUUGAGAGCUCUUUCUUGAUUCGGUGGGUGGUGGUGCAUGGCCGUUCUUAGUUGGUGGAGCGAUUUGUCUGGUUAAUUCCGAUAACGAACGAGACUCUAGCCUGCUAAAUAGACGACCGAUCCCGGGGUGCCGGCGCCUUCUCGUCUUGCGGCCGUUUCGCUCCCCUCUCGGGUUUCGCGUCGUUCUCUUUUCCCUUCCUCACAUCCGUCGCGGGGAGGCGGUGCGUGCGUUUCACUCGCGGUAGAUGUCGCGGAGUUGGCGGAAUAAGGCUGCCGCUCUCCCUUUCGGGGGUUGAGUGGGGUCCCGUCGCUCCGUUUCACUCUCGGGCGUACGCGCGCAUUCGUUUYUCCCUUCUUCGGGGACUGGGGCUCGAGGGAUCGAGGCGCGCGGGACUUUGCUGAGGGACCGGCGACGGUUGUCAUUUGCGCGAGUCGGCUGUCCGGCGUUGCCUCUGUCGGUCGAUCGCUUCUUAGAGGGACAAGCGGCGCUCAGCCGCACGAGAUUGAGCAAUAACAGGUCUGUGAUGCCCUUAGAUGUCCGGGGCCGCACGCGCGCUACACUGAAAGAAUCAACGUGCGUUAUCUCCCGAUCCGGAAGGAUCGGGUAACCCGUUGAACCUCUUUCGUGAUAGGGAUCGGGGCUUGAAAUUGUCCCCCGCGAACGAGGAAUUCCCAGUAAGCGCGAGUCAUAAGCUCGCGUUGAUUACGUCCCUGCCCUUUGUACACACCGCCCGUCGCUACUACCGAUUGAAUGGUUUAGUGAGGUCUUCGGACUGGCGGUCUCUGCGUCUUCUCUCUCGCGAGAGAGUCGCGGCGGUUCGGCCGGGAAGAUGACCGAACUUGACCAUUUAGAGGAAGUAAAAGUCGUAACAAGGUUUUC
Molecule: ribosomal RNA, 2194 nt
Filed under: Zelanion antipodus
Lineage: Eukaryota; Metazoa; Arthropoda; Chilopoda; Geophilomorpha; Chilenophilidae
Description: SSU rRNA
Rfam family: Eukaryotic small subunit ribosomal RNA
Source: RNAcentral